GAUGAACGCUGGCGGCGUGCUUAACACAUGCAAGUCGAACGGUGAAAGAGAGCUUGCUCUCUGGAUCAGUGGCGAACGGGUGAGUAACACGUGAGCAAUCUGCGCCUGACUCUGGGAUAAGCGCUGGAAACGGCGUCUAAUACCGGAUACGAGCUGCGAAGGCAUCUUCAGCAGCUGGAAAGAACUUCGGUCAGGGAUGA
RNAcentral lists this ribosomal RNA (200 nucleotides) under uncultured bacterium. Its description in RNAcentral is "partial 16S ribosomal RNA". It matches the Rfam family "Bacterial small subunit ribosomal RNA", at positions 28 to 228 of the family's 1533-position model. The record is from RNAcentral.